This 468-nucleotide ribosomal RNA is filed under the name uncultured bacterium. Its description in RNAcentral is "partial 16S ribosomal RNA". It matches the Rfam family "Bacterial small subunit ribosomal RNA", at positions 28 to 507 of the family's 1533-position model. The record is from RNAcentral.
GACGAACGCUGGCGGCGUGCUUAACACAUGCAAGUCGAACGGAAAGGCCCUGCUUUUGUGGGGUGCUCGAGUGGCGAACGGGUGAGUAACACGUGAGUAACCUGCCCUUGACUUUGGGAUAACUUCAGGAAACUGGGGCUAAUACCGGAUAGGAGCUCCUGCUGCAUGGUGGGGGUUGGAAAGUUUCGGCGGUUGGGGAUGGACUCGCGGCUUAUCAGCUUGUUGGUGGGGGAGUGGCUUACCAAGGGUUUGAAGGGUAGCCGGCCUGAGAGGGUGACCGGCCACAUUGGGACUGAGAUACGGACCAGACUCCUACGGGAGGCAGAAGUGGGGAAUAUUGCACAAUGGGCGGAAGCCUGAUGCAGAGACGCCGCGUGCGGGAUGACGGCCUUCGGGUUGUAAACCGCUUUCGCCUGUGACGAAGCGGGAGUGACGGUAAUGGGUAAAGAAGCACCGGCUAACUACGUG